CUGCCCUCGCCUGGCGCUCUCCCUCUCACUCUCUCCUCCCUCCCUCUCCCUCCCGCACGCACACACGCACACACAUGACUCAAAGCUUGUUGUGGCGCGGUCACCUGAGAGAGAGAGAGAGAGAGAGAGAGAGAGAGAGAGAGAGAGAGAGAGAGAGAGAGAGAGAGAGAGAGAGAGAGAGAGAGAGAGAGAGAGAGAGAGGAAAAGAAGAAACACGCGUAACUUUUGCAAUCUUAAAACAUUUCCCAACCCACAAAAUAAUAAUAAUAAUAAUAAUAAUAAUAAUAAUAAUAAUAAUAAAAAUAAUAAUAAAAAUAAUAAACAAGAAAAAAAUACUAACAGUACAAAUAUGACACC
Molecule: long non-coding RNA, 357 nt
Organism: Portunus trituberculatus (swimming crab)
Lineage: Eukaryota; Metazoa; Arthropoda; Malacostraca; Decapoda; Portunidae
Exons: 2
Source: RefSeq, a predicted model, not a curated record